Molecule: long non-coding RNA, 283 nt
Filed under: Eucalyptus grandis
Lineage: Eukaryota; Viridiplantae; Streptophyta; Magnoliopsida; Myrtales; Myrtaceae
Description: long non-coding RNA (EGRA_LNC007343)
Source: RNAcentral
CCUUGGAUCCAAAAAGCAGCAAAGAAAACCAAACAAGGACACCUAAACAACAAAGACUAAACUAGACCGAAAGACCCUCCAUCAAUUAAAGAUAGACGGACUCAAGUUCCAGCUCUGUUGCAGCCUUCUGUUCGUCGGGGUAUCCAAGACAUGCUUGAACGUCAUCGCUUUGUCUUUAAUUGCCUUACAAAGAUGCAUCUUCAUCGCCGGGAUAAAGUGAGUCUGAUUCCGGAAGAUGAUGUUAUUGCGCUCUUUCCAUAUUAUGUAGCAAAGAGCACCAAAG